UAUAGCUUCUGUUGGCGUUUUAUCGCGUAUUUGGGUUCUUUAACAAUAGAUAUGGUUAAGAGGUGUAGUCACGGACUUUAUAAUAGUGACGACAGGUAUCCUGAAAGGCUAGUUGGUGGAGUUCAAUUCGUACCCUUUCCAAAACGGAAGGGCCAGUACGAAAAAUGUCUUUGAUGGAUCAAACUUUGUGUAAGACCGCAUCAUCAACUGAAUCCAUCUAAAAUCAAACGGAAUAGAAGACAGAGUACGAAAAAUGUCUUUGAUGGAUAAAACUUUGAGGAAGACCGCAUGAUCAACUGAAUCCAUCAACCGGAACAGAUAUGUUUGCACAAAGGUGAAUACAGCCCCUCAGAUGGUCCAGUGGGUACAUGGUGGAAGAUAAACCAGAAUCCUGUUUCCUAAAGCACAGAACAGUACAUAAAAAAGUUACCUUGGUAAUACGCACCUGCAAGCGAUUGCAAUUUGGAGGGUUUAAAGUCCAGCAACAGUGGGAAAUGAAAGUGGUUGCCAGGUUAUUCACCUGACACAAACCAGUACUGUCCGACAGGGUUUUUCUUAUGUUCUAAAUCACGUAACUUAAAUGUUGACGUACUUACUAUAACAGUAAAAUGUCUUUUUUAUGCAGUAUUUCACAUUUAUGUG
Molecule: long non-coding RNA, 642 nt
Organism: Syngnathoides biaculeatus (alligator pipefish)
Lineage: Eukaryota; Metazoa; Chordata; Actinopteri; Syngnathiformes; Syngnathidae
Exons: 3
Source: RefSeq, a predicted model, not a curated record